RNAcentral lists this ribosomal RNA (267 nucleotides) under uncultured prokaryote. RNAcentral describes it as "partial 16S ribosomal RNA". It matches the Rfam family "Bacterial small subunit ribosomal RNA", at positions 510 to 776 of the family's 1533-position model. The record is from RNAcentral.
AGCCGCCGCGGUAAUACAGAGGGUGCGAGCGUUAAUCGGAAUUACUGGGCGUAAAGCGUGCGUAGACGGUUAUUUAAGUCGGGUGUGAAAGCCCCGGGCUCAACCUGGGAAUUGCAUUCGAGACUGAAUAGCUAGGGUACGGUAGAGGGAAGCGGAAUUUCCGGUGUAGCGGUGAAAUGCGUAGAUAUCGGAAGGAACAUCAGUGGCGAAAGCGGCUUCCUGGACCAGUACCGACGUUCAGGCACGAAAGCGUGGGGAGCAAACAGG